CUUUUCUCAUUCAAACCUGUGGCCCCUCCCAGAGGCGGCCCCUGUAUUCCCUGCCGACUUUAAAGCCCUGCCGAAAUUCAAACCCGCUCUAGUCCUAAAGCUCUGAUGGAUUGUGCUUUUACAGGAAAGCAGGAAGGGAAGUGCCCUGCCCGAGCCCCUGGCCCACCUCCCACCAGAGGGAAUGCACGCCCUGUGAAAACCAAAGAAAAGGUGACCCUGGAACUAAACGGUGGCACCCAGGAAGCUGGAUUGCAAAUCAGAGAACCUUCCGGAACACAUACUGAUAGGAUAUUCCCAGGAGGAGCCCAAGACAAGGGAAUUGCCAGGCAAACCAAAUUGCUCUGGGCAUCUGGAAAAGUAGAGACGUAAUUGGAAGAAGGAGAAUGGAAGGAAAAAUGCCAAAUGACAAGCUGAGGACAUAUGGGGAGAGAACUGGUGAGGGACAAGGCCAGAAGGAGCAGGGACACGAGUGCAGUGUGGGCUGUUGCUGACUGUGACCAUCGAAUGCCAUGUUAAAGCCUUUCCCAAGGGAGGCACAUGAAGAAUAAAGACAAGGAAGCAAGGUGGGACUUUGCAAGUACAUGAAGCACCUGCUUCCCUGUUGAAUGGAGGCUCUUCACCUCGCGUGGGUGUGCAAGCUCCAGCCCUCAGAGGGCCAGGCCUGGCCUAGAGGAGCAACACCAGCUGGAAUGCCGGUGUCCUAUGACAAGGGGAUGCUGAUGCUCCACCUGGAGGAUGACGACCUUGUAGGAAUGCUGAUCAGAGCUGCCAGAUCUCCAUACUGCCCCAAAGUAGCUGGGAAGCUGCAUUCGUAUGUGGUAAGUCCAAAGUUUUAAAUGCUGGCAACCGAUUCAAAAUGUUGAAAAAAGCCCA
This is a non-coding RNA of Leptonychotes weddellii (Weddell seal), 873 nucleotides long. Lineage: Eukaryota; Metazoa; Chordata; Mammalia; Carnivora; Phocidae. The record is from RefSeq and is a predicted model, not a curated record.